This 300-nucleotide ribosomal RNA is filed under the name uncultured Ferroglobus sp. RNAcentral describes it as "bacterial SSU rRNA". It matches the Rfam family "Bacterial small subunit ribosomal RNA", at positions 496 to 795 of the family's 1533-position model. Lineage: Archaea; Methanobacteriati; Methanobacteriota; Archaeoglobi; Archaeoglobales; Archaeoglobaceae. The record is from RNAcentral.
GCGAACCCACGGCCAGCAGCCGCGGUAAGUGCGAGUGUGCAAGCGUGAAGCGGAACUACUGGUCGUAAAGCGUGCGCAGGCGGCUUAUUAAGUCAUGUGUGAAAUCCCUAGGCUCAACCUAUGAACUGCAUUUGAAACUAAUAAACUAGAGUAUCGUAGAGGGAGGUAGAAUUCCAGGUGUAGCGGUGAAAUGCGUAGAUAUCUGGAGGAAUACCAGUGGCGAAGGCGACCUCCUGGACGAAAACUGACGCUCAAGCACGAAAGCAUGGGGAGCAAACAGGAUUAGAUACCCCAGUAGUC